GACGAACGCUGGCGGCGUGCUUAACACAUGCAAGUCGAACGGAAAGGCCCUGCUUUUGUGGGGUGCUCGAGUGGCGAACGGGUGAGUAACACGUGAGUAACCUGCCCUUGACUUUGUGAUAACUUCAGGAAACUGGGGCUAAUACCGGAUAUGAGCUCCUGCUGCCUGGUGGGGGUUGGAAAGUUUCGGCGGUUGGGGAUGGACUCGCGGCUUAUCAGCUUGUUGGUGGGGUAGUGGCUUACCAAGGCUUUGACGGGUAGCCGGCCUGAGAGGGUGACCGGCCACAUUGGGACUGAGAUACGGCCCAGACUCCUACGGGAGGCAGCAGUGGGGAAUAUUGCACAAUGGGCGGAAGCCUGAUGCAGCAACGCCGCGUGCGGGAUGCCGGCCUUCGGGUUGUAAACCGCUUUCGCCUGUGACGAAGCGUGAGUGACGGUAAUGGGUAAAGAAGCACCGGCUAACUACGUG
This 468-nucleotide ribosomal RNA is filed under the name uncultured bacterium. Its description in RNAcentral is "partial 16S ribosomal RNA". It matches the Rfam family "Bacterial small subunit ribosomal RNA", at positions 28 to 507 of the family's 1533-position model. The record is from RNAcentral.